RNAcentral lists this ribosomal RNA (1464 nucleotides) under Triticum aestivum (bread wheat). Its description in RNAcentral is "partial small subunit ribosomal RNA". Lineage: Eukaryota; Viridiplantae; Streptophyta; Magnoliopsida; Poales; Poaceae. The record is from RNAcentral.
AUGGAAGCAAUUCUGUCUGCGGCUACAGGUGACCUUGUUAGCAGAUUUUUCUCCUUUCUGAUAAGCAGAUAUUCGGGACUCGUAUGCUCAGAGGGGAAGCAUGUGGAUGUGGAGAGGUUGCAGCAACUCCUGCUAAGAGCUCAGAUGGUUGUCGAGGAAGCAGAUGGGCGGUACAUCACCAACUCUGGUAUGCUUCUACAACUCAAGAUGCUAGCUAGGGCUAUGUACCAUGGUUAUCAUGCUCUAGACACUUUCAAGUGCAACCAACUAAUCAACAAAGAGGGCUCUACGGAAGUGAUGAGUACUGGCUCAUUUAUGUCAUAUCUUGGCACUCCCCUCAAGCGCUUCCGUACACACGCUGGUAUAUCGGAUCACAAAGUUUGUAACAAGCAGGACCUACAAGGUGCCUUACUGAAUUUAGAGACGGUCAUCUCUAAUAUUACAGAGUUUGUUAUACUUUUGGGCGGGUGCAAACCCAUGUUUCGCAGACCCUAUGACACAUACCUUUACGUCAACAACUUCAUGUUCGGUCGUUUGACAGAGAAGCAACAAGCCAUCAACUUCUUGUUAGAACGCAACCAUCUUGGUUCUCCAUCUGUGCUUGCCAUUAUCGGUGGCUACCGAGUCGGGAAGAAAACUUUGGUCGCACAUGUAUGCAAUGAUGAGAACGUUCGUAGUCACUUCUCUUCAAUUUUGCAGCUUAGUGCAGACAACUUCUCUAGGAUAGACAAUGAAAGGGGCACAUCAGGGAGAGCAUUGGUUAUUGUUGAAUUUCUUUCAGAUGUUGAUGAUGGGGAGUGGGAACCUUUUUACCGGGCAGUGACAUCCACAAGCAUAGAAAGUAAGGUUAUAAUCAUAAGUAGGAUGGAAAGCUUGACGAGAUAUGGUACUGUGAAGCCAAUCCACCUAAGUAAAUUAUCAGAUGAGGAGUACAUCUACCUCUUCAAGACACUAGCAUUUGGAAGUGCACACAGUGAGGACUAUCCAAAGCUGACACUGUUGGCAGGAGAAUUCAUCAAAUUGUUGGAUGGGUCAUUUGUGGCAGCAUAUUCAGUUGCCAAUGGGUUGAGGACGAAUCUAAGCCUUCGAUACUGGAUUUGUAUGUUUAAGAGAUACAAGAAUGUGACAAAGAAAAACUUGUCCAUGUUUGGUGAGCAUAUUGCAGACCGUUUCAAAAGAAAUUGUCCAGUCGACUUCACCAACUUUCUUCCUUCUCCCGCUGCUCCGCUAUACCUUAUGCCUCCUCAGACUGAAGCUGAGGUUCCCGAAAGGAGACUGCCCAAGAUUAAGAUUAGAGACAUCAUUGAUAAUCCCUCUGUUCGUCCCAAGGGUGACUUUGUAUUAGUGACAUGGGAAUCUAGGAUACCCCCAUAUAAUGAGUACAGUUACUAUGUCCCAUCUUGUGCUCAGUCGCAACCUAAAACAACCAUGAGGAGGAAGCGUGAAGCAACUAUUUCUCUCUAG